RNAcentral lists this long non-coding RNA (300 nucleotides) under Panax ginseng (ginseng). RNAcentral's name for it is "long non-coding RNA (PGIN_LNC017413)". The record is from RNAcentral. Lineage: Eukaryota; Viridiplantae; Streptophyta; Magnoliopsida; Apiales; Araliaceae.
UUUUCAGCUCCAUGAACAAGCCUAAUGAGCUUUAAUUCAUUACAAAAUUAAGGUAAACUGGAACUGACUACUAAUUGAUCAAAGAUGUUGUUGGUUGUACAUCUUGGUUAGCAAAGUUUUGUUGGUAGAGUAACAAGUUACUAGAUGUUGGUUCAAGUGAGAGUUGUUAUUGUUGGUUAUAUAGUGUGAUAGAUGAUAUUGGUUGAAGAUGAUUGUGUUGGCUCAAAAGAAGUGGCUUAUAACAUGAGGCCAUCAAAGUAGUUGUGAUAAAGGAUUGCAAAAAAUUUCUGUUCGUACUGG